GGCCCCAUCGUCUAGAGGUCUAGGACGCCAGAUUCUCAUUCUGGAGAUCAGGGGUUCGACUCCCCUUGGGGCCG
RNAcentral lists this transfer RNA (74 nucleotides) under Candidatus Wildermuthbacteria bacterium RIFCSPHIGHO2_02_FULL_49_9. Its description in RNAcentral is "tRNA-Glu". It matches the Rfam family "tRNA". Rfam says of the family: Transfer RNA (tRNA) molecules are approximately 80 nucleotides in length. Their secondary structure includes four short double-helical elements and three loops (D, anti-codon, and T loops). Further hydrogen bonds mediate the characteristic L-shaped molecular structure. tRNAs have two regions of fundamental functional importance: the anti-codon, which is responsible for specific mRNA codon recognition, and the 3' end, to which the tRNAs corresponding amino acid is attached (by aminoacyl-tRNA synthetases). tRNAs cope with the degeneracy of the genetic code in two manners: having more than one tRNA (with a specific anti-codon) for a particular amino acid; and 'wobble' base-pairing, i.e. permitting non-standard base-pairing at the 3rd anti-codon position. Lineage: Bacteria; Candidatus Wildermuthiibacteriota. The record is from RNAcentral.